RNAcentral lists this long non-coding RNA (678 nucleotides) under Vitis vinifera (wine grape). RNAcentral's name for it is "long non-coding RNA (VVIN_LNC000372)". Lineage: Eukaryota; Viridiplantae; Streptophyta; Magnoliopsida; Vitales; Vitaceae. The record is from RNAcentral.
GGGGAAGAAAAAGAAAAGAAUCGGAGAAGGGAGGUUGUUGAUCUUGGAAGCUAAGGGAAAUGAGGGAUUUGCUUGAUGCUAAGCACAUAUUGCUUGAGUGGAGAUUACCCAGGUAUGGUUACUAUGUCUUCAAUGUUUCCAUUAAAACCUUGUUCUUCUCUUUUUAUCUUCUCUUCACUGCCCUUUGUUGCGCAUGCGUUCAUUUUUUGUGGGGAUCUCCUAUUAGAGGAGGGAGAAGGGAGGGGAAGAAAAAGAAAAGAAUCGGAGAAGGGAGGUUGUUGAUCUUGGAAGCUAAGGGAAAUGAGGGAUUUGCUCGAUGCUAAGCACAUAUUUGCUUGAGUGGAGAUUACCCAGGUAUGGUUACUAUGUCUUCAAUGUUUCCAUUAAAACCUUGUUCUUCUCUGUUUAUCUUCUCUUCACUGCCCUUUGUUGCACAUGGGUCGGCAAGCUCUGCAACUUAUUGCUCCUAUUCUUCUUCGCUGGUGUCUCUCUUGUUGAGCCUCGGACUUUGCAGUUUUGUUUGGAGUCCUACUGGUGUUUAGUCGUUUUUGUUCAUUAUUUAGCAUUCAGCUCUUGCUCGUGUAUUUGAGCAUAAGAAUGUCUGUUUCUUGGGUAUGUUGUAAACAGUGUUUGAAAUAUAUUUUUCUCUGAAAUUUCGGUAAUCGGCCGGCUCCCGUC